Molecule: ribosomal RNA, 483 nt
Filed under: uncultured bacterium
Lineage: Bacteria
Description: partial 16S ribosomal RNA
Rfam family: Bacterial small subunit ribosomal RNA
Source: RNAcentral
GACGAACGCUGGCGGCGUGCUUAACACAUGCAAGUCGAACGCUGAAGCUCAGCUUUUGUUGGGUGGAUGAGUGGCGAACGGGUGAGUAACACGUGAGUAACCUGCCUCCUUCUUUGGGAUAACGCCCGGAAACGGGUGCUAAUACUGGAUAUUCACUGGUCUUCGCAUGGGGGUUGGUGGAAAGGGUUUUUCUGGUGGGGGAUGGGCUCGCGGCCCAUCAGCUUGUUGGUGGGGUGAUGGCCUACCAAGGCUUUGACGGGUAGCCGGCCUGAGAGGGUGACCGGUCACAUUGGGACUGAGAUACGGCCCAGACUCCUACGGGAGGCAGCAGUGGGGAAUAUUGCACAAUGGGCGCAAGCCUGAUGCAGCGACGCCGCGUGAGGGAUGGAGGCCUUCGGGUUGUGAACCUCUUUCGCUCAUGGUCAAGCCGCAACAAUGGUUGUGGUGAGGGUAGUGGGUAAAGAAGCGCCGGCUAACUACGUG